UAAGGGUUCAGCCGGGCGAUGGUUGCCCCGGUCGUAAGGGACUGCAAAUGAGCGGGAAGUGAAUUUGGAAGAAGGCGAGAAAAGCUGUGUGAAUAGAAGAUAGAGCCCGUACCGCAAACCGACACAGGUAGAUAGGAAGAAGAUUCUAAGGCCAACGGGAGAAGGGUUGUUAAGGAACUCGGCAAGUUGACCCCGUAACUUAGGGAGAAGGGGUGCUCUUUAAGGAGAGCCGCAGAGAAUAGGCCCAAGCGACUGUUUAGCAAAAACACAGCUCUAUGCUAAAUCGAAAGAUGACGUAUAUGGGGUGACACCUGCCCGGUGCCGGAAGGUUAAGAGGAGGAGUGAGAGCUCUGAAUUGAAGCCCCGGUAAACGGCGGCCGUAACGAUAACGGUCCUAAGGUAGCGAAAUUCCUUGUCAGGUAAGUUCUGACCCGCACGAAUGGUGUAACGAUUUGGGCACUGUCUCAACAACCUGCCCGGCGAAAUUGUAGUACCGGUGAAGAUGCCGGUUACCCGCGACUAGACGGAAAGACCCCAUGGAGCUUUACUGCAGCUUAAUAUUGAAUUUCGGUAUUUCAUGUACAGGAUAGGUGGGAGACAGGGAACCAUAGGCGUCAGCUUAUGGGGAGUCGACCUUGGGAUACCACUCUUGAGGUGCUGGAAUUCUAACCUGUGGCUCUGAAUCGAGUCAGGGGACAUUGUUAGGCGGGCAGUUUGACUGGGGCGGUCGCCUCCAAAAAGGUAACGGAGGCGCUCAAAGGUUCGCUCAGCAUGGAUGGAAACCAUGCUUUUGAGUGUAAACGCAAAAGCGAGCCUAACUGCGAGACUGACGGGCCGAGCAGUAACGAAAGUUGGAGUUAGUGAUCCGGCGGUAUGUGAGUGGAAAUGCCGUCGCUCAACGGAUAAAAGCUACCCUGGGGAUAACAGGCUGAUCUCCCCCAAGAGUCCACAUCGACGGGGAGGUUUGGCACCUCGAUGUCGGCUCAUCGCAUCCUGGGGCUGAAUUCGGUCCCAAGGGUUUGGCUGUUCGCCAAUUAAAGCGGUACGCGAGCUGGGUUCAGAACGUCGUGAGACAGUUCGGUCCCUAUCUGUCGUGGGCGUAGGAUAUUUGAAAGGAGCUGUCCCUAGUACGAGAGGACCGGGAUGGACGCACCGCUGGUGCACCAGUUGUCAUGCCAAUGGCACAGCUGGGCAGCUAUGUGCGGAACGGAUAAACGCUGAAGGCAUCUAAGCGUGAAGCCGACCUUAAGAUAAGAUAUCCCUUCGUAAGAGUAAGACCUCUCAUAGACUAUGAGUUUGAUAGGCCUAAGGUGUAAGCACAGUGAUGUGUUCAGCCUGCAGGUACUAAUCGGUCGAGGGCUUUUCCG
Molecule: ribosomal RNA, 1367 nt
Filed under: metagenome
Description: bacterial LSU rRNA
Rfam family: Bacterial large subunit ribosomal RNA
Source: RNAcentral